This 460-nucleotide ribosomal RNA is filed under the name uncultured bacterium. RNAcentral describes it as "partial 16S ribosomal RNA". It matches the Rfam family "Bacterial small subunit ribosomal RNA", at positions 338 to 795 of the family's 1533-position model. The record is from RNAcentral.
CCUACGGGGUGCUGCGGUGAGGAAUAUUGGUCAAUGGACGAGAGUCUGAACCAGCCAAGUAGCGUGAAGGAUGACUGCCCUAUGGGUUGUAAACUUCUUUUAUAAAGGAAUAAAACGAGGCACGUGUGCCUUUUUGCAUGUACUUUAUGAAUAAGGAUCGGCUAACUCCGUGCCAGCAGCCGCGGUAAUACGGAGGAUCCGCGCGUUAUCCGGAUUUAUUGGGUUUAAAGGGAGCGUAGAUGGGUUGUUAAGUCAGUUGUGAAAGUUUGCGGCUCAACCGUAAAAUUGCAAUUGAUACUGGCAGUCGUGAGUACAGUUGAGGUAGGCGGAAUUCGUGGUGUAGCGGUGAAAUGCUUAGAUAUCACGAAGAACCCCGAUUGCGAAGGCAGCUUACUAAACUGUGACUGACAUUGAUGCUCGAAAGUGUGGGUAUCAAACAGGAUUAGAUACCCCAGUAGUC